GAAAAAUCGUGGCCGAGUGGUUAAGGCGAUGGAUUCGAAAUCCAUUGGGGUCUCCCCACACAGGUUCGAAUCCUGUCGGCUGCG
RNAcentral lists this transfer RNA (84 nucleotides) under Dermacentor silvarum. RNAcentral's name for it is "transfer RNA serine (anticodon CGA)". The stretch from base 8 to 78 matches the Rfam family "tRNA", at positions 6 to 65 of the family's 71-position model. Rfam says of the family: Transfer RNA (tRNA) molecules are approximately 80 nucleotides in length. The record is from RNAcentral. Lineage: Eukaryota; Metazoa; Arthropoda; Arachnida; Ixodida; Ixodidae.